CAGAGCGUUUAUAAUGGAUGCCGCUGUCAGCAGAAGCCUCUGCUGCCGCCGCCGCCGCCACUGCCGCUGUCCCUGUUCCUCCUCUCUUUCUCCCCGGCAGAUCUUUGUUGUGUGGGAGGGCAGCGGGGAUGGACUUGAGCUCGCGGCUCUUCUGCUAGAGCAGCCGCGCUUGGAGAGGACGCCGCCGCCGCGAGCAGCCGCCGCCCCAGGCCCCGCCAGCCGCGGCCUCCGUCCCCGCGCCGCGCUCCGCGCGCCUCCCAGCACAGUGCCCUCGCGGCGGCAGAUGAGUGUGGGGUCAGCCCACGGCGGGGACUAUGGUGAAAUUCCCGGCGCUCACGCACUACUGGCCCCUGAUCCGGUUCCUGGUGCCCCUUGGCAUCACCAACAUAGCCAUCGACUUCGGGGAGCAGGCCUUGAACCGGGGCAUUGCUGCAGUCAAGGAAGAUGCAGUAGAGAUGCUGGCCAGCUAUGGGCUGGCGUAUUCUCUGAUGAAGUUCUUCACGGGACCCAUGAGUGACUUCAAGAAUGUGGGCCUGGUGUUUGUGAACAGCAAG
This 554-nucleotide long non-coding RNA is filed under the name Rattus norvegicus (Norway rat). Its description in RNAcentral is "long non-coding RNA NONRATT015117". Lineage: Eukaryota; Metazoa; Chordata; Mammalia; Rodentia; Muridae. The record is from RNAcentral.